UUAACAGGAUUAGAUACCCUGGUAGUCCACGCCGUAAACGAUGAGAACUAGAUGUUGGGAGGAUUUGCCUUUCAGUGUCGCAGCUAACGCAUUAAGUUCUCCGCCUGGGGAGUACGCCGGCAACGGUAAAACUCAAAGGAAUUGACGGGGACCCGCACAAGCGGUGGAGCAUGUGGUUUAAUUCGAUGCAACGCGAAGAACUUUACCUGGCCUUGACAUCCUCAGAACUUGUCAGAGAUGACUUGGUGCCUUCGGGAACUGAGUGACAGGUGCUGCAUGGCUGUCGUCAGCUCGUGUCGUGAGAUGUUGGGUUAAGUCCCGCAACGAGCGCAACCCUUGUCCCUAGUUGCCAGCACUUCGAGUGGGAACUCUAGGGAGACCGCCGGUGACAAACCGGAGGAAGGUGGGGAUGACGA
Molecule: ribosomal RNA, 416 nt
Filed under: uncultured bacterium
Lineage: Bacteria
Description: bacterial SSU rRNA
Rfam family: Bacterial small subunit ribosomal RNA
Source: RNAcentral